Molecule: long non-coding RNA, 579 nt
Organism: Plutella xylostella (diamondback moth)
Lineage: Eukaryota; Metazoa; Arthropoda; Insecta; Lepidoptera; Plutellidae
Source: RefSeq, a predicted model, not a curated record
GGACGUAUAAAUCAAUUCUUCUGAAAAUCCGAUAGAGUAAUACUUUGUUUUUAGUGAACCAGACAAUAGCUUUCCCUCUCAUUAGGAGAGCUUGUGGUAUAAUAAAUGUUUCACUGUCGCAAUGGCCAGGAUUUAUAAAGCGUGUCUAGUGUUGGUGUUUAUAUUGGCGGCAGAUCUAAACGUGUCCGGUACCUAUGAAGAUCGAUGGAAGCACGACGAAAUUAAAAGAAGACACGUGUCGUUUUCAUACAUAAACGACGCUAGAGUUGCAGCAGAAUUGUACUUCGUACCUCCAUAUAAUGGACGGACAGCUCGACUAAGAUCUAUUAUAUUUAAUAAUGUAAUGGAAGACGCAUUACACGGACUGACCUCAAGAAACAAUCAUAAAUUUGUGAGUGCACACGUUCGAAGAGGACUCUAUAUUCUGAACUUCGUAAUCAAUAGAAUUCAACUGCCUAUUGGUUAGGCAACUACGGCGAUUAAUAAUAUAAUAAAUUUCGGAAAUAAGAAUUAACAAAUUAUACUUAUUACUUACUGUUUAUUUAGUUCCAAACCUGACUGAAACAAGGUAGGUGCUAA